RNAcentral lists this ribosomal RNA (207 nucleotides) under uncultured bacterium. RNAcentral's name for it is "partial 16S ribosomal RNA". It matches the Rfam family "Bacterial small subunit ribosomal RNA", at positions 568 to 774 of the family's 1533-position model. The record is from RNAcentral.
CGCGUAGGCGGAUUGUCGUGUCUGGUGUGAAAGUCCGGGGCUCAACCCCGGAAGUGCAUUGGAAACUGGCAAUCUUGAGUUCGGGAGAGGAGGGCAGAAUUCCUGGUGUAGGGGUGAAAUCCGUAGAUAUCAGGAGGAAAAUCAGUGGCGAAGGCGGCCCUCUGGAACGUAACUGACGCUGAGGCGCGAAAGCGUGGGGAGCAAACA